AUUGAACGCUGGCGGCAGGCCUAACACAUGCAAGUCGAACGAGUGGCGGACGGGUGAGUUAUGUCGGGGAAACUGCCUGAUGGUGGGGGAUCACUACUGGAAACGGUAGCUAAUACCGCAUACCAUCGGAUGUGCCCAUAUGGUAUUAGCUAGUAGGGGGGGUAAUGGCUCACCUAGGCGACGUUCCCUAGCUGGUCUGAGAGGAUGACCAGCCACACUGGAACUGAGACACGGUCCAGACUCCUACGGGAGGCAGCCGUGGGGAAUAUUGCACAAUGGGCGAAAGCCUGAUCCAGCCAUGCCGCGUGUGUGAAGAAGGUCUUCGGAUUGUAAAGCACUUUAAGUUGGGAGGCGUUACCAACAGAAUAAGCACCGGCUAACUUCGUGCCAACAGCCGCGGUAAUUC
RNAcentral lists this ribosomal RNA (406 nucleotides) under uncultured bacterium. Its description in RNAcentral is "partial 16S ribosomal RNA". It matches the Rfam family "Bacterial small subunit ribosomal RNA", at positions 30 to 526 of the family's 1533-position model. The record is from RNAcentral.